GAUGAAGAACGUAGCGAAAUGCGAUACGUAAUGUGAAUUGCAGAAUUCAGUGAAUCAUCGAAUCUUUGAACGCAUAUUGCGCUCUUUGGUAUUCCGAAGAGCAUGCUUGUUUGAGUAUCAGUAAACACCUCAAAGCUUUUGGAUUUUUUAAUCGAAAAGCUUUGGACUUGAGCAAUCCCAACACCAAUCUUUUUGAGAUCGGUGGCGGGUUGCUUGAAAUGCAGGUGCAGCUGGACAUUCUCCUGAGCUAAAAGCAUAUUCAUUUAGUCCCGUCAAACGGAUUAUUACUUUUGCUGCAGCUAACAUAAAGGGAGUUUGACCGUAUUGGCUGACUGAUGCAGGAUUUCACAAGGGUCGGCAACGAUUCUUGUUAAACUCGAUCUCAAAUCAAGUAAGAAUAACCGCUGAACUUAAGCAUAUCAAUAAGCGGAGGA
RNAcentral lists this unclassified non-coding RNA (434 nucleotides) under soil metagenome. RNAcentral describes it as "partial contains 5.8S ribosomal RNA, internal transcribed spacer 2, and large subunit ribosomal RNA". The stretch from base 1 to 120 matches the Rfam family "5.8S ribosomal RNA", at positions 35 to 154 of the family's 154-position model. The record is from RNAcentral.